CUCGAUGGUGGCUGUUCGCAGGGCGCCCUAGGGCGCGCCGGUUUGUGCACUCCCGGUCGACUAACCUGCUUACAGCCGCCACCCUU
This 86-nucleotide non-coding RNA is filed under the name Pseudomonas jessenii. Lineage: Bacteria; Pseudomonadati; Pseudomonadota; Gammaproteobacteria; Pseudomonadales; Pseudomonadaceae. The record is from RNAcentral.